UUGAAUGGCUCAGUGAGGCCUUCGGACUGGCCCAGGGAGGUCGGCAACGACCACCCAGGGCCGGAAAGUUGGUCAAACUCGGUCAUUUAGAGGAAGUAAAAGUCGUAACAAGGUCUCCGUAGGUGAACCUGCGGAGGGAUCAUUA
Molecule: ribosomal RNA, 145 nt
Filed under: Cercospora lactucae-sativae
Lineage: Eukaryota; Fungi; Ascomycota; Dothideomycetes; Mycosphaerellales; Mycosphaerellaceae
Also listed under: 1 other name
Description: partial 18S ribosomal RNA
Rfam family: Eukaryotic small subunit ribosomal RNA
Source: RNAcentral